AAUAACUAUCGGGAUACAGGUGCAAAAGCAGUGCUUUUAACAAAAGGCUGCCAAGCCUAACAAGGAAUCAGGUGCGAAUCCUGAGCAAGGCCGUUGCCGUAUUUUGUCUUAACGCAUACAUGACGUGAGUCAGUCACUGGAGAGUUUCUUCGGGAAGGCGUAUGCGAGCCGUUCUGGCGGGCAAUAAGUCGGAAUACUUGCCUGUAUCCUCCCCGUGCA
This 219-nucleotide non-coding RNA is filed under the name Ruminococcus sp. The record is from RNAcentral. Lineage: Bacteria; Bacillati; Bacillota; Clostridia; Eubacteriales; Oscillospiraceae. RNAcentral also lists the same sequence under 1 other name.